AACGAACGCUGGCGGCAGGCCUAACACAUGCAAGUCGAGCGAGGACUUCGGUCCUAGCGGCGGACGGGUGAGUAACGCGUGGGAACGUGCCCUUUGCUUCGGAAUAGCCCUGGGAAACUGGGAGUAAUACCGGAUGAGCCCUUUGGGGGAAAGAUUUAUCGGCGAAGGAUCGGCCCGCGUUGGAUUAGGUAGUUGGUGGGGUAAUGGCCUACCAAGCCGACGAUCCAUAGCUGGUUUGAGAGGAUGAUCAGCCACACUGGGACUGAGACACGGCCCAGACUACUACGGGAGGCAGCAGUGGGGAAUCUUAGACAAUGGGGGAAACCCUGAUCUAGCCAUGCCGCGUGAGCGAUGAAGGCCUUAGGGUUGUAAAGCUCUUUAAGCUGGGAAGAUAAUGACGGUACCAGCAGAAGAAGCCCCGGCUAACUCCGUG
Molecule: ribosomal RNA, 433 nt
Filed under: uncultured bacterium
Lineage: Bacteria
Description: partial 16S ribosomal RNA
Rfam family: Bacterial small subunit ribosomal RNA
Source: RNAcentral